CAACCUUUAUAUUUUUGUACAGUGCUACGAAAUAAGUUUGCACUAUACAAAUACAAAUAAGAAGUAGGAAAACGGUGCAAUUUGAUAUUUGCAUAGUUGCCAACUGUUUUUUUUUUGCUGUAAAUGUCCUAAUUUUUGGUCUAUUGUCCCAUCAAAGUAGGUCCUGGGAAGAGACCUGUUAUAUUUUCUAAACUCAGUCCUGAAAUUAAUGUUCAGAUUGGUCUAUUUAAUAAUACCAAGAACAACCAGGACUGCAAGACCAAUUGCUGUAUAAUAUAUCCAUUAUAUUGGUGCUACAGUGGGGACAAAAGUGUUAUGCUUCCAAGAUGGCCUCAACUGUUCUAGUUGCGAGUGGGUCCUUGUUUGGGUCUGGAACUCUGGCUCUGAGCCAACCCUCAAUCAAUAGAUCUCCCUGCAGGGCCUUGUUUCUACUCACUUCUCAUUUUCAGACAGUAACCAUAAGCGAACAUUUAUAACUAGGGCUCAAUAACUUUGCUUUGAGGUAAAGAGGAAUAGGUAUUACAAGGCUGGGUAAGAGCACAACAAAAACUAUAUCUGCGUAUUACACCCAGGUCUCACCAGAAUGUGGUCUUAUGCCUGAGUCCACUCCGGAGUCAUUUAUGGGAUCUCCUGCUGCCCUGGUCGUUGUGGAGACAGUAUGGGAAUUCCCCAAUCUUGCAACUUCUGGACUCCAUCCUCCAGGGAUAGAACUGCAUGCAUGGCCCCUUGGUGGUGUAUGAGCAAUUUAGCCGGGUAACCCCAGCGAUAUUAUAUUGGACCCGGGUGUCAAUGUGAUUGGAGCCAGGGACUUCUGAAACUGGAGGGUGUUGGCAGAGAGAUCUGCAAAGAUCUGUAAGGACCCGGGAGAUCACCAUUCUUGCAGGCUUUGGUGAGAUGUUCUUUAACAUGAAAAAAAUGAACAUGCGUAAUCACAUCUCUAGUCGCCGACGGAGGCAGGCAGUGUGCCCUGUCCACCAGUAGCUGAUACUGUCUUUUGGGCGUAAGUGCCUGGAAGAGGUAUGAAGGUAAUUCUUCGUUGGUCACUCUCUCUGGAAUUCCUCUGAUACGAAGGUUAUUCCUCCGUGACCUAUCUUCCAGGUCUGCGAGUUUCAUUUUGUGCGUGUGGAUGAUGGUAUCCAGUUCUUGGAGUUUGUCGGUCACCGAGUUAUGAGCUCCCGCGAACUGAUCCAUCUUCUGCUCAACAUGUGUGGUUCUCUGGCCUAUAUCUUGAAUCUCCUUACUUAAGUCUGCAGCUAAAGUCUGCAUUUGAGAUUUGAUGGAGGCUUGAAUCGUACAUAAUCACUCUCAUGGUGGAGGCAGUAAGAGGGGUCUCAUCAGUUACUGUGCUCGGGGAGUCCGGAGGGGAGGGUGAGUCAUCCCUCGAGUGGGGCUCAGCGACAUCUUGCGCAGUGUCUGGGCCUGUUUUAAGUUUUUGCGCGGAGGCUCUCGCUAGGAAGGAGGCUCAUUCCACCUUACCAGUCUUAUGUUUCUGUCUCUGGGACAUAGUGCUGAUAGUAUUCAAUGAUUCUGUGCACUCGUUCCUCAGGAGCUUUAGCAAUGUGUGUCCAUUCAGAUCAAGUGCUAGGCCAUGCCGCCCUCAUUUCUCAUUGUAAGAGUGCCAUUGUGGUCCCAUGGUGCUUCUUGAUGGCUCAGAGCGCCACAGCCAACUCUCUGAGUUAUUGACUCAGCACUGGUAGCGUGAGGGCACUCUUAAAGUGGUCUGUACCUUAUAUUGGUGCCGACGAUAGAGUUCCCCCACCAGACCACCAGGGAUCAUGAUCACACUCCACUGGACCACCAGGGAAGGUAAGCAGGAAGGGGGAGGGGGAGGACAUACACACACACAUACAUAAUAUUCAACCACACUCAGACUACCCUGCACACAAAGACAACUUUCAACAGCUCAUACUGACACACUCAACCUCCUCUGAUACAGCUCUCACCCUCCUCGGAUACAGCUCUCCCACACACAACACUCAGCCAUCACAAACAUUCUCACACACAACACUUAGUCAACACACACCACUCACAGAAACAGACCUGCAAGGCUGUAGGAAAGGGCCCCAAUCUGGCAUCCUGCCUAGAGCCCUGGGCAAACUUGAUCCAUUCCUGCUGUAUACUUAGCAAAGUUGGCAAGCACAUAAUUGGUAUUAUAACACUGAAAACCUGAUUCUUAAACCGAUGGGCAAGAACCAGGUUACUGUAAUACUAUGAAGUGAACCAGUGUAGGAGGAACCAGUAGCAACGGAACUAGAAGCUACUGCUUCAAAGUACCAGAC
Pelobates cultripes (western spadefoot toad) is the source of this 2279-nucleotide non-coding RNA. Lineage: Eukaryota; Metazoa; Chordata; Amphibia; Anura; Pelobatidae. The record is from the annotation of a GenBank genome assembly.